This is a long non-coding RNA of Cyprinus carpio carpio, 897 nucleotides long. Lineage: Eukaryota; Metazoa; Chordata; Actinopteri; Cypriniformes; Cyprinidae. The record is from Ensembl.
GGCCAGUGAUCCUGACUGAAGUGAUUGAGGAACAUCUGCAGUCUUUCUUCUGUGGUAUGAGCUAAGGAGCUUCAUCCCACUCAGACAUGAAAACGUUUUUCACAGCAGGAAGCAUCGCGAUUCAUUUACUGCAGCAGCGUCUCAGUCUCAGUCAUCCCGCGGAUGAGAAUAAUUGCAGAUGGGUGUUAUGUGCGCACGCACCAGCAGGCGGCUCACACGCGUUUCAGCAUCCAAGCUGUCUUCUGGACGCUUAAGUUUGUCUUCAGCUAUGGCAAACAAAUGUCAAGAGCAGCCAUGAGCAACACACACCCCCCUCGGGAGCAGCACUGUUGAUGUUUAAGAGUGGAAAGUACCCAUUUGAAACCACUGUCCAUUAAGUGUGUUGGGAACAGGUCCUCCUUUCUGUGUGGGUGGUCUGCAAAGCUUCACUGGAAAAAUUGCAGCAAAAGCAGCAUGUUGUAUCGGCCCGCGGCCAGAAGCCCAGAUGUGACAUUAAUUGUUAUUAAUCUGCUCAGUGAGCCAGUAGUCCGUUUUCACACUUAGUAAAUAUAGGGUACACUUUUAAGUUAAACAAUAAAACUUCAUAUUUAAGUUCAAUAUAGAGGAACAGGAAAUGUGAUGUUUUUGUAGUAAUUCCACCAGACAGUUACAUGACCUCUACUGGUUUCAUGAAAAGACAGGCUGUGUGCUGUGGAUCCGAAAUUCACUUUUUAUGCACAAGUCCCGUCAAAGGCGAGUGACCUGAGAAAAUUUAAACAGAAAUAAAUCUUAUCAGCCACGAAACUGAAUUUAGUGUUUAUUUAAAACUAAUUUGGUCUGAUUGACUCGUUUUAAAGCUACCUUGAAAAACAAUUGGCCAUAAGAGUCACAAAGGGUUUUUUUUUGUUACUUGAGAUG